RNAcentral lists this ribosomal RNA (524 nucleotides) under Bacillus sp. A45. RNAcentral describes it as "bacterial SSU rRNA". It matches the Rfam family "Bacterial small subunit ribosomal RNA", at positions 247 to 762 of the family's 1533-position model. Lineage: Bacteria; Bacillati; Bacillota; Bacilli; Caryophanales; Bacillaceae. The record is from RNAcentral.
AGUUGGUGAGGUAACGGCUCACCAAGGCGACGAUGCGUAGCCGACUUGAGAGGGUGAUCGCCCACACUGGGACUGAGACACGCCCCAGACUACUACGGGAGGCAGCAGUAGGGAUUCUUCCGCAUUGGACGAAAGUCUGACGGAGCACCGCCGCGUGAGUGAUGAGGGUUUCCGGAUCGUAAAACUCUGUGGUUAGGGAGGACCAAGUAUCGUUCGAUUAGGCCGGUACUUUGACGGUACUUAACAAGAAAGCCACGGCUAACUACGUGCCAGCAGCCGCGGUAAUACGUAGGUGGCAAGCGUUGUCCGGAAUUAUUGGGCGUAAAGCGCGCGCAGGCGGUUUCUUAAGUCUGAUGUGAAAGCCCACGGCUCACCCGUGGAGGGUCAUUGGAAACUGGGAGACUUGAGUGCAGAGGAGAGGAGCGGAAUUCCACGUGUAGCGUGAAAUGCGGUAGAGAUGUGGAGGAACACCAGUGCCGAAGGCGGCUCUUUGGUCUGUAACUGACGCUGAGGCGCGAAAGCGU